This 497-nucleotide ribosomal RNA is filed under the name uncultured bacterium. RNAcentral's name for it is "partial 16S ribosomal RNA". It matches the Rfam family "Bacterial small subunit ribosomal RNA", at positions 28 to 507 of the family's 1533-position model. The record is from RNAcentral.
GAUGAACGCUGGCGGCGUGCCUAAUACAUGCAAGUCGAGCGAACAGACGAGGAGCUUGCUCCUCUGACGUUAGCGGCGGACGGGUGAGUAACACGUGGAUAACCUACCUAUAAGACUGGGAUAACUUCGGGAAACCGGAGCUAAUACCGGAUAAUAUAUUGAACCGCAUGGUUCAAUAGUGAAAGACGGUUUUGCUGUCACUUAUAGAUGGAUCCGCGCCGCAUUAGCUAGUUGGUAAGGUAACGGCUUACCAAGGCAACGAUGCGUAGCCGACCUGAGAGGGUGAUCGGCCACACUGGAACUGAGACACCGUCCCGACUCCUACGGGAGGCAGCAGUAGGGAAUCUUCCGCAAUGGGCGGAAGCCUGACGGAGCAACGCCGCGUGAGUGAUGAAGGUCUUCGGAUCGUAAAACUCUGUUAUUAGGGAAGAACAAAUGUGUAAGUAACUAUGCACGUCUUGACGGUACCUAAUCAGAAAGCCACGGCUAACUACGUG